RNAcentral lists this ribosomal RNA (444 nucleotides) under uncultured soil bacterium. RNAcentral's name for it is "bacterial SSU rRNA". It matches the Rfam family "Bacterial small subunit ribosomal RNA", at positions 26 to 518 of the family's 1533-position model. The record is from RNAcentral.
AGAACGAACGCUGGCGGCAUGCCUAAUACAUGCAAGUCGAACGAAGGCUUCGGCCUUAGUGGCGCACGGGUGCGUAACGCGUGGGAAUCUGCCCCUUGGUUCGGAAUAACAGUUGGAAACGACUGCUAAUACCGGAUGAUGACGAAAGUCCAAAGAUUUAUCGCCAAGGGAUGAGCCCGCGUAGGAUUAGCUAGUUGGUGAGGUAAAGGCUCACCAAGGCGACGAUCCUUAGCUGGUCUGAGAGGAUGAUCAGCCACACUGGGACUGAGACACGGCCCAGACUCCUACGGGAGGCAGCAGUAGGGAAUAUUGGACAAUGGGCGAAAGCCUGAUCCAGCAAUGCCGCGUGAGUGAUGAAGGCCUUAGGUUGUAAAGCUCUUUACCCGAGAUGAUAAUGACAGUAUCGGGAGAAUAAGCCCCGGCUAACUCCGUGCCAGCAGCCGC